This 497-nucleotide ribosomal RNA is filed under the name uncultured bacterium. RNAcentral describes it as "partial 16S ribosomal RNA". It matches the Rfam family "Bacterial small subunit ribosomal RNA", at positions 28 to 507 of the family's 1533-position model. The record is from RNAcentral.
GAUGAACGCUGGCGGCGUGCCUAAUACAUGCAAGUCGAGCGAACGGACGAGAAGCUUGCUUCUCUGAUGUUAGGGGCGGACGGGUGAGUAACACGUGGAUAACCUACCUAUAAGACUGGGAUAACUUCGGGAAACCGUAGCUAAUACCGGAUAAUAUUUUGAACCGCAUGGUUCAAAAGUGAAAGACGGUCUUGCUGUCACUUAUAGAUGGAUCCGCGCUGCAUUAUCUAGUUGGUAAGGUGACGGCUUACCAAGGCAACGAUGCAUAGCCGACCUGAGAGGGUGAUCGGCCACACUGGAACUGAGACACGGUCCAGACUCCUACGGGAGGCAGCAGUAGGGAAUCUUCCGCAAUGGGCGAAAGCCUGACGGAGCAACGCCGCGUGAGUGAUGAAGGUCUUCGGAUCGUAAAACUCUGUUAUUAGGGAAGAACAUAUGUGUAAGUAACUGUGCACAUCUUGACGGUACCUAAUCAGAAAGCCACGGCUAACUACGUG